RNAcentral lists this transfer RNA (68 nucleotides) under Methylophilaceae bacterium. Its description in RNAcentral is "tRNA-Met". The record is from RNAcentral. Lineage: Bacteria; Pseudomonadati; Pseudomonadota; Betaproteobacteria; Nitrosomonadales; Methylophilaceae.
GGGGUUGUAGCCUUGAAUGAAGUACUCAUAAUCCUUUGGUCCCAGGUUCGAGUCCUGGUGGCCCACCA